This 381-nucleotide ribosomal RNA is filed under the name Allochromatium sp. JA596. RNAcentral describes it as "bacterial SSU rRNA". It matches the Rfam family "Bacterial small subunit ribosomal RNA", at positions 57 to 450 of the family's 1533-position model. Lineage: Bacteria; Pseudomonadati; Pseudomonadota; Gammaproteobacteria; Chromatiales; Chromatiaceae. The record is from RNAcentral.
GCAAGUCGACGCGAAAGGGCUUCGGCCUGAGUAGAGUGGCGGACGGGUGAGUAAUGCAUGGGAAUCUGCCUGGCAGAGGGGGAUAACCCGGGGAAACUCGGGCUAAUACCGCAUACGCCCUACGGGGGAAAGGGGGCUUCGGCUCUCGUUGCCAGAUGAGCCCAUGUCCGAUUAGCUAGUUGGCGGGGUAAAGGCCCACCAAGGCGACGAUCGGUAGCUGGUCUGAGAGGAUGACCAGCCACACUGGGACUGAGACACGGCCCAGACUCCUACGGGAGGCAGCAGUGGGGAAUAUUGGACAAUGGGGGAAACCCUGAUCCAGCAAUGCCGCGUGGGUGAAGACGGCCUGCGGGUUGUAAAGCCCUUUCGGUGGGAAAGAAA